Molecule: ribosomal RNA, 422 nt
Filed under: uncultured bacterium
Lineage: Bacteria
Description: bacterial SSU rRNA
Rfam family: Bacterial small subunit ribosomal RNA
Source: RNAcentral
ACGCUCGACAGUGUCAGCAGCCGCGGUAAUACGUAGGGUGCGAGCGUUAAUCGGAAUUACUGGGCGUAAAGCGUGCGCAGGCGGUUUGUUAAGUCAGAUGUGAAAGCCCCGGGCUCAACCUGGGAAUGGCAUUUGAAACUGGCAAGCUUGAGUAUGGCAGAGGGGGGUGGAAUUCCGCGUGUAGCAGUGAAAUGCGUAGAGAUGCGGAGGAACACCGAUGGCGAAGGCAGCCCCCUGGGCCAAUACUGACGCUCAGGCACGAAAGCGUGGGGAGCAAACAGGAUUAGAUACCCUGGUAGUCCACGCCCUAAACGAUGCUCACUAGGUGUUGGGGAAGCGAUUCCUUGGUACCGUAGCUAACGCGUGAAGUGAGCCGCCUGGGGAGUACGGCCGCAAGGUUAAAACUCAAAUGAAUUGACGGG